Molecule: long non-coding RNA, 783 nt
Filed under: Carica papaya (papaya)
Lineage: Eukaryota; Viridiplantae; Streptophyta; Magnoliopsida; Brassicales; Caricaceae
Description: long non-coding RNA (CPAP_LNC011714)
Source: RNAcentral
UGACAUUAUCAAAGAGUUCUCAAAGUCUCAUCUACUAUAUUCUAAAUACCAACAUUUACUUUCUUUACCUCACUAGUAAUGUAACCCUACAUUCCUCUAUAUUUCAUUAACAAUAAAUAAGAUACCCGUAAAUGAAAAUCUGCACCAAAUGAGUAAAAAAAGACCAAAAAAAUCCAAAAUCAAAUAUGGCUCGGCUCAGAUCAGAUCGACUCGGCUCGACAGCGACUCGAACACAGACAGCUUGGCUCAGGCACGAAAUGACCAAAUUGGGUCAACUCAGCGCACAGAAUGACCAGAUAGGGUCAGCUCAGCGCGCAGAAUGGUGAGAUCGGAUGUCCCCAUGUGUGGAAGGCUGGAAUGGCACGUGAAAGACGUAUGUUUGACAAUACAGCACAGUUCAGUGCGUGGCCGAAGCAGGGUGGCGUGCAAGAAGUCAAGACGAGUCGCCUCAAGGCACAGAACAGACAAGAUGAUACGGUGGAAGGCGUGGGACAGCAAAUCAGCCGAAUGCAUGUAGCCACUUGAAAGCUAGAGUCUAAACGCACAAUUUGCGUUGGAUCGCAUGCGAAAUGCCAAAAAAGAGCCAAAUCUUGGUGCACGACAAUCGUGCGACAUGAUCCCGACCGAAAUGAGGUGAUCCUUGACGAUGUGUGGGGAUCACACGCUUCCACUACCGGCAGCGCAUGUGGCUCACGCUCAUCAGAAACUUCUCUGGUUAGGUGUCAGUGAGCAACGACUUCUUCUAAGUGGUUGGUGAAGUUAGAGUUUUUUGAUAGGUGAGUA